This 85-nucleotide transfer RNA is filed under the name Felis catus (domestic cat). It matches the Rfam family "tRNA". From Rfam's summary of the family: Transfer RNA (tRNA) molecules are approximately 80 nucleotides in length. Their secondary structure includes four short double-helical elements and three loops (D, anti-codon, and T loops). The record is from Rfam by way of RNAcentral. RNAcentral also lists the same sequence under 2 other names. Lineage: Eukaryota; Metazoa; Chordata; Mammalia; Carnivora; Felidae.
GCCUGGGUGGCUCAGUCGGUUGAGCAUCCGACUUCAGCUCAGGUCAUGAUCUCAUAGUUUGUGGGUUUGAGCCCCAUGCCAGGCU